UUCUUUUAAUGCAGAGGAAGGUUCGGAGC
RNAcentral lists this non-coding RNA (29 nucleotides) under Rattus norvegicus (Norway rat). Lineage: Eukaryota; Metazoa; Chordata; Mammalia; Rodentia; Muridae. The record is from RNAcentral.